CGAAUGCUGACAUAAGUAACGAUAAAGCGGGUGAAAAGCCCGCUCGCCGGAAGACCAAGGGUUCCUGUCCAACGUUAAUCGGGGCAGGGUGAGUCGACCCCUAAGGCGAGGCCGAAAGGCGUAGUCGAUGGGAAACAGGUUAAUAUUCCUGUACUUGGUGUUACUGCGAAGGGGGGACGGAGAAGGCUAUGUUGGCCGGGCGACGGUUGUCCCGGUUUAAGCGUGUAGGCUGGUUUUCCAGGCAAAUCCGGAAAAUCAAGGCUGAGGCGUGAUGACGAGGCACUACGGUGCUGAAGCAACAAAUGCCCUGCUUCCAGGAAAAGCCUCUAAGCAUCAGGUAACAUCAAAUCGUACCCCAAACCGACACAGGUGGUCAGGUAGAGAAUACCAAGGCGCUUGAGAGAACUCGGGUGAAGGAACUAGGCAAAAUGGUGCCGUAACUUCGGGAGAAGGCACGCUGAUAUGUAGGUGAAGUCCCUCGCGGAUGGAGCUGAAAUCAGUCGAAGAUACCAGCUGGCUGCAACUGUUUAUUAAAAACACAGCACUGUGCAAACACGAAAGUGGACGUAUACGGUGUGACGCCUGCCCGGUGCCGGAAGGUUAAUUGAUGGGGUCAGCGCAAGCGAAGCUCUUGAUCGAAGCCCCGGUAAACGGCGGCCGUAACUAUAACGGUCCUAAGGUAGCGAAAUUCCUUGUCGGGUAAGUUCCGACCUGCACGAAUGGCGUAAUGAUGGCCAGGCUGUCUCCACCCGAGACUCAGUGAAAUUGAACUCGCUGUGAAGAUGCAGUGUACCCGCGGCAAGACGGAAAGACCCCGUGAACCUUUACUAUAGCUUGACACUGAACAUUGAGCCUUGAUGUGUAGGAUAGGUGGGAGGCUUUGAAGUGUGGACGCCAGUCUGCAUGGAGCCGACCUUGAAAUACCACCCUUUAAUGUUUGAUGUUCUAACGUGGACCCGUGAUCCGGGUUGCGGACAGUGUCUGGUGGGUAGUUUGACUGGGGCGGUCUCCUCCUAAAGAGUAACGGAGGAGCACGAAGGUUGGCUAAUCCUGGUCGGACAUCAGGAGGUUAGUGCAAUGGCAUAAGCCAGCUUGACUGCGAGCGUGACGGCGCGAGCAGGUGCGAAAGCAGGUCAUAGUGAUCCGGUGGUUCUGAAUGGAAGGGCCAUCGCUCAACGGAUAAAAGGUACUCCGGGGAUAACAGGCUGAUACCGCCCAAGAGUUCAUAUCGACGGCGGUGUUUGGCACCUCGAUGUCGGCUCAUCACAUCCUGGGGCUGAAGUAGGUCCCAAGGGUAUGGCUGUUCGCCAUUUAAAGUGGUACGCGAGCUGGGUUUAGAACGUCGUGAGACAGUUCGGUCCCUAUC
This 1366-nucleotide ribosomal RNA is filed under the name Escherichia coli. RNAcentral's name for it is "partial 23S ribosomal RNA". It matches the Rfam family "Bacterial large subunit ribosomal RNA", at positions 1291 to 2642 of the family's 2925-position model. Lineage: Bacteria; Pseudomonadati; Pseudomonadota; Gammaproteobacteria; Enterobacterales; Enterobacteriaceae. The record is from RNAcentral.